RNAcentral lists this ribosomal RNA (253 nucleotides) under uncultured bacterium. RNAcentral's name for it is "partial 16S ribosomal RNA". It matches the Rfam family "Bacterial small subunit ribosomal RNA", at positions 524 to 776 of the family's 1533-position model. The record is from RNAcentral.
UACGAGGGGGGCGAGCGUUGUUCGGAAUUAUUGGGCGUAAAGGGUGCGUAGGCGGUUUGGUAAGUCUUGUGUGAAAUCUACAGGCUCAACUUGUAGUCUGCACGGGAAACUGCCGGGCUUGAGUGUGGGAGAGGUGAGUGGAAUUCCUGGUGUAGCGGUGAAAUGCGUAGAUAUCAGGAGGAACACCUGUGGCGAAAGCGGCUCACUGGACCAUAACUGACGCUGAUGCACGAAAGCUAGGGGAGCAAACAGG